ACGCUCGACACCUACGGGAGGCAGCAGUGGGGAAUAUUGCACAAUGGGGGAAACCCGUGAUGCAGCGACGCCGCGUGAGCGAAGAAGUAUUUCGGUAUGUAAAGCUCUAUCAGCAGGGAAGAAAAUGACGGUACCUGACUAAGAAGCACCGGCUAAAUACGUGCCAGAAGCCGCGGUAAUCUGAGCGGGCUGGCAAGGC
RNAcentral lists this ribosomal RNA (199 nucleotides) under uncultured bacterium. RNAcentral describes it as "partial 16S ribosomal RNA". It matches the Rfam family "Bacterial small subunit ribosomal RNA", at positions 328 to 539 of the family's 1533-position model. The record is from RNAcentral.